AUCAAUUUUUUUUUAACAUCUUUAUUGGAUCUUGUCCUGGUGUGCUAGAGUCCUCGGAGAGAAUCUGCUGGUCUUGAUUCACUGGCGAGGGCAGUCAGUGCCCCCGGGAGUGCCCAGAUCAGAAACAUGC
This is a small nucleolar RNA of Delphinapterus leucas (beluga whale), 130 nucleotides long. Ensembl annotates it as small nucleolar RNA SNORA3/SNORA45 family. The record is from Ensembl. Lineage: Eukaryota; Metazoa; Chordata; Mammalia; Artiodactyla; Monodontidae.